RNAcentral lists this ribosomal RNA (529 nucleotides) under uncultured bacterium. RNAcentral describes it as "partial 16S ribosomal RNA". It matches the Rfam family "Bacterial small subunit ribosomal RNA", at positions 355 to 900 of the family's 1533-position model. The record is from RNAcentral.
UGGGGAAUAUUGCACAAUGGGCGAAAGCCUGAUGCAGCAACGCCGCGUGAGUGAUGAAGGUCUUCGGAUUGUAAAGCUCUGUCUUUUGGGACGAUAAUGACGGUACCAAAGGAGGAAGCCACGGCUAACUACGUGCCAGCAGCCGCGGUAAUACGUAGGUGGCGAGCGUUGUCCGGAUUUACUGGGCGUAAAGGGUGCGUAGGCGGAUGUUUAAGUGAGAUGUGAAAUACCCGGGCUUAACUUGGGUGCUGCAUUUCAAACUGGAUAUCUAGAGUGCAGGAGAGGAGAAUGGAAUUCCUAGUGUAGCGGUGAAAUGCGUAGAGAUUAGGAAGAACACCAGUGGCGAAGGCGAUUCUCUGGACUGUAACUGACGCUGAGGCACGAAAGCGUGGGUAGCAAACAGGAUUAGAUACCCUGGUAGUCCACGCCGUAAACGAUGAGUACUAGGUGUAGGAGGUAUCGACCCCUUCUGUGCCGCAGUAAACACAUUAAGCACUCCGCCUGGGAAGUACGAUCGCAAGAUUAAAAC